UGCAGUCGAGCGGAUGAGUGGAGCUUGCUCCAUGAUUCAGCGGCGGACGGGUGAGUAAUGCCUAGGAAUCUGCCUGGUAGUGGGGGACAACGUUUCGAAAGGAACGCUAAUACCGCAUACGUCCUACGGGAGAAAGUGGGGGAUCUUCGGACCUCACGCUAUCAGAUGAGCCUAGGUCGGAUUAGCUAGUUGGUGAGGUAAAGGCUCACCAAGGCGACGAUCCGUAACUGGUCUGAGAGGAUGAUCAGUCACACUGGAACUGAGACACGGUCCAGACUCCUACGGGAGGCAGCAGUGGGGAAUAUUGGACAAUGGGCGAAAGCCUGAUCCAGCCAUGCCGCGUGUGUGAAGAAGGUCUUCGGAUUGUAAAGCACUUUAAGUUGGGAGGAAGGGCAGUAAGUUAAUACCUUGCUGUUUUGACGUUACCAACAGAAUAAGCACCGGCUAACUUCGUGCCAGCAGCCGCGGUAAUACGAAGGGUGCAAGCGUUAAUCGGAAUUACUGGGCGUAAAGCGCGCGUAGGUGGUUCGUUAAGUUGGAUGUGAAAGCCCCGGGCUCAACCUGGGAACUGCAUCCAAAACUGGCGAGCUAGAGUAUGGCAGAGGGUGGUGGAAUUUCCUGUGUAGCGGUGAAAUGCGUAGAUAUAGGAAGGAACACCAGUGGCGAAGGCGACCACCUGGGCUAAUACUGACACUGAGGUGCGAAAGCGUGGGGAGCAAACAGGAUUAGAUA
RNAcentral lists this ribosomal RNA (732 nucleotides) under Pseudomonas sp. RNAcentral describes it as "bacterial SSU rRNA". It matches the Rfam family "Bacterial small subunit ribosomal RNA", at positions 56 to 784 of the family's 1533-position model. Lineage: Bacteria; Pseudomonadati; Pseudomonadota; Gammaproteobacteria; Pseudomonadales; Pseudomonadaceae. The record is from RNAcentral.